This 79-nucleotide transfer RNA is filed under the name Klebsiella pneumoniae. RNAcentral's name for it is "tRNA-Phe". The stretch from base 9 to 71 matches the Rfam family "tRNA", at positions 5 to 66 of the family's 71-position model. Rfam says of the family: Transfer RNA (tRNA) molecules are approximately 80 nucleotides in length. The record is from RNAcentral. Lineage: Bacteria; Pseudomonadati; Pseudomonadota; Gammaproteobacteria; Enterobacterales; Enterobacteriaceae.
GCCCCGUUGGAUAGCUCAGUCGGUAGAGCAGGGGAUUGAAAAUCCCGUGUCCUUGGUUCGAUUCCGAGUCCGGGCACCA